Molecule: ribosomal RNA, 578 nt
Filed under: uncultured bacterium
Lineage: Bacteria
Description: partial 16S ribosomal RNA
Rfam family: Bacterial small subunit ribosomal RNA
Source: RNAcentral
UGGGGAAUUUUGGACAAUGGGCGAAAGCCUGAUCCAGCAAUGCCGCGUGUGUGAAGAAGGCCUUCGGGUUGUAAAGCACUUUUGUCCGGAAAGAAAUCCUUGGCUCUAAUACAGUCGGGGGAUGACGGUACCGGAAGAAUAAGCACCGGCUAACUACGUGCCAGCAGCCGCGGUAAUACGUAGGGUGCAAGCGUUAAUCGGAAUUACUGGGCGUAAAGCGUGCGCAGGCGGUUUGCUAAGACCGAUGUGAAAUCCCCGGGCUCAACCUGGGAACUGCAUUGGUGACUGGCAGGCUAGAGUAUGGCAGAGGGGGGUAGAAUUCCACGUGUAGCAGUGAAAUGCGUAGAGAUGUGGAGGAAUACCGAUGGCGAAGGCAGCCCCCUGGGCCAAUACUGACGCUCAUGCACGAAAGCGUGGGGAGCAAACAGGAUUAGAUACCCUGGUAGUCCACGCCCUAAACGAUGUCAACUAGUUGUUGGGGAUUCAUUUCUUAGUAACGUAGCUAACGCGUGAAGUUGACCGCCUGGGGAGUACGGUCGCAAGAUUAAAACUCAAAGGAAUUGACGGGGUCAUAGCUG